This 448-nucleotide long non-coding RNA is filed under the name Mus musculus (house mouse). RNAcentral's name for it is "long non-coding RNA chrX:103227704-103228152". Lineage: Eukaryota; Metazoa; Chordata; Mammalia; Rodentia; Muridae. The record is from RNAcentral.
AUGGCGGCCUGGCGGUUAAGUUUGUGCGCUCGCAGCCUUUCCGCAAUUCGACGGCUCCAGGCUGCCCCACUUUGCUGGAAAUCCAGCUCCUCCAGGGCUGUGGUCGCCCAGUCCGCUGCGGCCCAAAAGGAGCAGGAAGAACCGACCGUGCAGUGGAUGGAGGACCCAAGGACGAAAACGUGUACUUGAAGAACCCAGACUUCCACAUGGUUACGACGACUACCCGAAGGUGGAUGCCUUGAAUAUGCACGCAGUCUUCUUCUUUGGUUUUUCCAUCGCCCUGGUCCUUGGCACUACCUUUGUGGCUUAUGUGCCAAACUAUAAGAUGAUCGAGUGGGCCCGCCGGGAAGCUGCGAUGCUGGUGAAACACCAAGAGGCCAGUGGCCUCCCCAUCAUGGAGUCCAACUAUUUUGACCCCACCAAGAUCAACCUGCUGGAGGACGACUGA